Molecule: ribosomal RNA, 1040 nt
Filed under: Lactiplantibacillus plantarum
Lineage: Bacteria; Bacillati; Bacillota; Bacilli; Lactobacillales; Lactobacillaceae
Description: bacterial SSU rRNA
Rfam family: Bacterial small subunit ribosomal RNA
Source: RNAcentral
CGAACUCUGGUAUUGAUUGGUGCUUGCAUCAUGAUUUACAUUUGAGUGAGUGGCGAACUGGUGAGUAACACGUGGGAAACCUGCCCAGAAGCGGGGGAUAACACCUGGAAACAGAUGCUAAUACCGCAUAACAACUUGGACCGCAUGGUCCGAGUUUGAAAGAUGGCUUCGGCUAUCACUUUUGGAUGGUCCCGCGGCGUAUUAGCUAGAUGGUGGGGUAACGGCUCACCAUGGCAAUGAUACGUAGCCGACCUGAGAGGGUAAUCGGCCACAUUGGGACUGAGACACGGCCCAAACUCCUACGGGAGGCAGCAGUAGGGAAUCUUCCACAAUGGACGAAAGUCUGAUGGAGCAACGCCGCGUGAGUGAAGAAGGGUUUCGGCUCGUAAAACUCUGUUGUUAAAGAAGAACAUAUCUGAGAGUAACUGUUCAGGUAUUGACGGUAUUUAACCAGAAAGCCACGGCUAACUACGUGCCAGCAGCCGCGGUAAUACGUAGGUGGCAAGCGUUGUCCGGAUUUAUUGGGCGUAAAGCGAGCGCAGGCGGUUUUUUAAGUCUGAUGUGAAAGCCUUCGGCUCAACCGAAGAAGUGCAUCGGAAACUGGGAAACUUGAGUGCAGAAGAGGACAGUGGAACUCCAUGUGUAGCGGUGAAAUGCGUAGAUAUAUGGAAGAACACCAGUGGCGAAGGCGGCUGUCUGGUCUGUAACUGACGCUGAGGCUCGAAAGUAUGGGUAGCAAACAGGAUUAGAUACCCUGGUAGUCCAUACCGUAAACGAUGAAUGCUAAGUGUUGGAGGGUUUCCGCCCUUCAGUGCUGCAGCUAACGCAUUAAGCAUUCCGCCUGGGGAGUACGGCCGCAAGGCUGAAACUCAAAGGAAUUGACGGGGGCCCGCACAAGCGGUGGAGCAUGUGGUUUAAUUCGAAGCUACGCGAAGAACCUUACCAGGUCUUGACAUACUAUGCAAAUCUAAGAGAUUAGACGUUCCCUUCGGGGACAUGGAUACAGGUGGUGCAUGGUUGUCGUCAGCUCGUGUCGUGAA